UAAGAAGUUCAGAUUCUCGGGGGAC
RNAcentral lists this non-coding RNA (25 nucleotides) under Rattus norvegicus (Norway rat). The record is from RNAcentral. Lineage: Eukaryota; Metazoa; Chordata; Mammalia; Rodentia; Muridae.